UUUUUGCAACAAUAUGAUUAUGUAAAUGAGUAGCAUGAAAAAUACCAUAAAACCUUAACAAUAACAAUAACAAUGUGAACGUCAAAAAUAACAAUAACAAUUCAUUAAUGUUCAACAUGAAAAUUAGAAAAAAAAAACAAUGACAAUAACAUAAUGAUAAAACACUUAAUGGCCUUGAUGACGUCGAAUGUCACUCAGAGUAUCCUCAAUUAUGUCCAUCCUUUGAUCAACCCUGUCAAUUCGGGUAUUCAUGUUUUGUAUGCCGGACAAAAUUUGAGUUAACAAUUCCCUUUGAGUGGGGUUUGCCGGACAUAUUUAAUUAACUAUCUACUAACUCCUUAAUAUAAUUAACUAAACUAAACUCUAAACAAAUUAUAUUACAACCAACAUUAAUUUACUAACGCCUUACCAUAAUAAACUAAAAUAAAUUCUAAACAAAUUAUAUUACAAAACCAUAAUCAUUCAAACAUAAAUAUAAAACAGAAAUUAAAAAAAAUAACUUUACAUAAAAAAUUUAAAAACCUGAAGAUAAGCACUCAAGAACAGCAAUAGGGAUGACUUAUAGGAUGAAGAACACACCUGAAAACAACAUAAAACAAAUUAAGAAACAUUUCUAUUUCACAAAUUUUACAACAUAAUCGAUUAUCGCAUCACUUAUAUACACAGGAUAAUCGAUUAUCAAUGCAUAAUCGAUUAUGUUAGUAGGCAAAAAACAACCAUAAUCGAUUAUCACAAUAAAUAAUCGAUUAAGACCCCUUUUACACACUUCAGAUAAUCGAUUAUGGGUCGAAAAUUUUACAGAUAAUCGGUUACUCGCUUAACUUAAUCGAUUAUCUACACCAUAAUCGAUUAUUUUACCUGUGCUAUUUAAGCCAUAAUCGAUUAAGCAACAAUCAAACACAUAAACUCACCUCAGAUCAACCCAGAGAUGAACCCAGAUGAAGCCAGAGAUGAACCCAGAGAUGAACACAACACUUUGAGAUGAACAACCAACCCCUACCACACACUAUGACUUACGAAUCUCUCCAACUACACACUCUAUGCUUCGCUUUCUUUGCUUAUCUGUGAAUGGAGGAAGCAGCUUCAUCGUUUUAUAAAGAAACCAGGUUCCACACCUACCUCUCACCCACUUCAUUGAUGACCUUUCAAACUUUCACAUGGUCAAACGAUUCCUGAGCCAAGUCAGGAAUCUCAUGCUUUCAUGUGGCAUGCAUGCAGGGCCACUGUUCUUCUUGAUUCCAGCACAAAAGCAAGGGCAACAUUGUAAGUUCGUGUGGAUGACUUGGCACUCGCACUCCACAGUGCAACUUUCUCUUCAUCUUUCAGGAGAAGCACAAUUCACUCACCUUUCUCUUUCCUUCCACCCUCACCCACAACAAUGCAUGGAUCCAAACGGGGUGGUGUUGUGACUUCCGUCGUCGACAACAGUACCACCCCUGGAUCCAAACGGGGCCUUAGGGAGAAUAGGAAGAGAGGGAUAUUUUCCUUUGGUUCAGCAAUGUUCCAUUUAUGGUUAGUUCAGAUUCCAGUAUCCAAUUUCUACACUAAUUUCCCAAAACAAAAUUAUGCCAUCCUAAACCAUUAGUUUGACAUUUUAAAUAGGGGGAAGAAAUUAAUAUAAAAAUGUUAAAUCCAUCAUGAAAAUUGAUAAUCCCUUUAUUUAUGUACAUACAAGGUUCUAGAAAUGCAUAUCUGAAUUUGAAAGCAACACCUCUGAGGUUCACAUUUUUCUUUUAAGAGAAAAAAAAGCCACUAACAUAUACUCCUCUAAAUCCAAUAAUCAAUAAGGAAAAUAAAAUUAAAAAUCGAGACAGAGAGAGAGAAAUGUACCAGCCUUGGAAGAAGGAAGUAAAACCGGGGUUAUCAUGGUGGCAGUGGUAAUGCGAAGGAGGUGGCGGAGGGUACUCUUGAUUGAAAUAGCUUUGGUAACCUUGGUACUGCGGAGGCGGUGGCGAGAACGGUGCAUAUCCCGGCGGCGCCGGCACCGACGCUAUGGGUAACUCAGUGGCGGAUAAGGACGGGUGUAGCCUGUGUUGAUUAAAUUGAAAGAGAAUUAGCAGAACAAUUGAGGCAAAAAAGAGUGUUUAAUUUAAUUUAAUUCAUUUGCUUAAUUGAAUAAUUUACCCGGGGGAGGAUAAUAAGGGUCUCUCAGGUAAUUACUCAUUGUGUGGGGAAUUGCAAUGAAGGACACUUUUUUU
Molecule: long non-coding RNA, 2198 nt
Filed under: Phaseolus vulgaris (common bean)
Lineage: Eukaryota; Viridiplantae; Streptophyta; Magnoliopsida; Fabales; Fabaceae
Description: long non-coding RNA (PVUL_LNC004952)
Source: RNAcentral